UGCAAGUCGAGCGAUGGAUUAGAGCUUGCUCCUUAUGUGUUUCCGGCGGACGGGUGAAUAACACGUGGGUACCCUGCCCAUAACAGUGGAUAUAUCUCCGGGAACCCGGGGCUAAUACCGAUAUAACAUUUUGCACCGCAUGGUGCAAAAUUGAAAGGCGGCUUCGGCUGUCUCUUAUGGAUGGACCCGCGUCGCAUUAUCUAGGUGGUGAGGUAACGGCUCACCAGGGCAACGAUGCGUACCCGACCUGAGAGGGUGAUCGGCCACACUGGGACUGACACACGGCCCACACUCCUACGGGAGGCAGCAAUAGGGAAUCUUCCGCAGUGGACGAAAGUCUGACGGAGCAACCCCGCGUGAGUGAUGAAGGUUUUCGGGUCGUAAAACUCUGUUGUUAGGGAAGAACAAGUGCUAGUUGAAUAAGGUGGCACCUUGACGGUACCUAACCAAAAAGCCACGGCUAACUACGUGCCAGCAGCCGCGGUAAUACGUAGGUGGCAAGCGUUAUCCGGAAUUAUUGGGCGUAAAGCGCGCGCAGGUGGUUUCUUAAGUCUGAUGUGAAAGCCCACGGCUCAACCGUGGAGGGUCAUUGGAAACUGGGAGACUUGAGUGCAGAAGAGGAGAGUGGAAUUCCAUGUGUAGCGGAGAUAUGCGUAGAGAUAUGGAGGAACACCAGUGGCGAAGCGCGACUCUCUGGUCUGUAUCUGACACUGACGCGCGAAAGCGUGGGGAGCACACAGGGAUUAUAUACCCUGGUACUCCACCGCCGUAAACGGAUGACGCUAAGUGUUACAGGGGUCUCCCGCCCCUUAUAAGUGCUGGAAGAUAACCGACUACUUAAAUCAUCUCC
This 850-nucleotide ribosomal RNA is filed under the name Bacillus sp. (in: firmicutes). RNAcentral's name for it is "bacterial SSU rRNA". It matches the Rfam family "Bacterial small subunit ribosomal RNA". The record is from RNAcentral. Lineage: Bacteria; Bacillati; Bacillota; Bacilli; Caryophanales; Bacillaceae.